Molecule: ribosomal RNA, 585 nt
Filed under: uncultured bacterium
Lineage: Bacteria
Description: partial 16S ribosomal RNA
Rfam family: Bacterial small subunit ribosomal RNA
Source: RNAcentral
UGGGGAAUUUUGGACAAUGGGCGAAAGCCUGAUCCAGCAAUGCCGCGUGUGUGAAGAAGGCCUUCGGGUUGUAAAGCACUUUUGUCCGGAAAGAAAUCCUUGGCUCUAAUACAGUCGGGGGAUGACGGUACCGGAAGAAUAAGCACCGGCUAACUACGUGCCAGCAGCCGCGGUAAUACGUAGGGUGCAAGCGUUAAUCGGAAUUACUGGGCGUAAAGCGUGCGCAGGCGGUUUGCUAAGACCGAUGUGAAAUCCCCGGGCUCAACCUGGGAACUGCAUCGGUGACUGGCAGGCUAGAGUAUGGCAGAGGGGGGUAGAAUUCCACGUGUAGCAGUGAAAUGCGUAGAGAUGUGGAGGAAUACCGAUGGCGAAGGCAGCCCCCUGGGCCAAUACUGACGCUCAUGCACGAAAGCGUGGGGAGCAAACAGGAUUAGAUACCCUGGUAGUCCACGCCCUAAACGAUGUCAACUAGUUGUUGGGGAUUCAUUUCCUUAGUAACGUAGCUAACGCGUGAAGUUGACCGCCUGGGGAGUACGGUCGCAAGAUUAAAACUUAAAUGAAUUGACGGGGUCAUAGCUGUUUCCU